GCUGGUGUGGCUCAGUCGGUAGAGCAGCUGAUUCGUAAUCAGCAGGUCGCAGGUUCGAAUCCCGUCACCAGCU
This 73-nucleotide transfer RNA is filed under the name Clostridiales bacterium. RNAcentral's name for it is "tRNA-Thr". It matches the Rfam family "tRNA". From Rfam's summary of the family: Transfer RNA (tRNA) molecules are approximately 80 nucleotides in length. The record is from RNAcentral. Lineage: Bacteria; Bacillati; Bacillota; Clostridia; Eubacteriales.